CCUACGGGAGGCUGCAGUGGGGAAUUUUGCGCAAUGCUCGUAAGAGUGACGCAGCGACGCCGCGUGAAUGACGAAGGCCUUCGGGUUGUAAAGUUCUGUCGCAGGGGACGAAAAUGACGGUACCCUGCAAGAAAGCUCCGGCUAACUACGUGCCAGCAGCCGCGGUAAUACGUAGGGAGCAAGCGUUGUCCGGAAUUACUGGGUGUAAAGGGAGCGUAGGCGGGAGGAUAAGUUGAAUGUGAAAUCUAUGGGCUCAACCCAUAGCUGCGUUCAAAACUGUUCUUCUUGAGUGAAGUAGAGGCAGGCGGAAUUCCUAGUGUAGCGGUGAAAUGCGUAGAUAUUAGGAGGAACACCAGUGGCGAAGGCGGCCUGCUGGGCUUUUACUGACGCUGAGGCUCGAAAGCGUGGGUAGCAAACAGGAUUAGAUACCCUUGUAGUC
Molecule: ribosomal RNA, 439 nt
Filed under: uncultured bacterium
Lineage: Bacteria
Description: partial 16S ribosomal RNA
Rfam family: Bacterial small subunit ribosomal RNA
Source: RNAcentral